RNAcentral lists this transfer RNA (81 nucleotides) under Arachidicoccus sp. RNAcentral describes it as "tRNA-Leu". It matches the Rfam family "tRNA". From Rfam's summary of the family: Transfer RNA (tRNA) molecules are approximately 80 nucleotides in length. Their secondary structure includes four short double-helical elements and three loops (D, anti-codon, and T loops). Further hydrogen bonds mediate the characteristic L-shaped molecular structure. tRNAs have two regions of fundamental functional importance: the anti-codon, which is responsible for specific mRNA codon recognition, and the 3' end, to which the tRNAs corresponding amino acid is attached (by aminoacyl-tRNA synthetases). tRNAs cope with the degeneracy of the genetic code in two manners: having more than one tRNA (with a specific anti-codon) for a particular amino acid; and 'wobble' base-pairing, i.e. permitting non-standard base-pairing at the 3rd anti-codon position. Lineage: Bacteria; Pseudomonadati; Bacteroidota; Chitinophagia; Chitinophagales; Chitinophagaceae. The record is from RNAcentral.
GGACCUGUGGCCGAGUGGUUAAGGCGCCAGAUUAAGGUUCUGGUUACGCAAGUAGCAAGGGUUCGAACCCCUUCGGGUUCA